Molecule: long non-coding RNA, 450 nt
Organism: Alligator mississippiensis (American alligator)
Lineage: Eukaryota; Metazoa; Chordata; Crocodylia; Alligatoridae
Exons: 3
Source: RefSeq, a predicted model, not a curated record
UUUCUCUAGACUGAAAGCUGGGAUAAAAGAAUGAGUGAAUAACUGGAUCCUUUUCAUCCCUGAACACUUCAAGUGUACAAAGGCAAAGAAGUUUCUCCCUGUGGUGCCCUUGAGCAGCCCGGAGCUCUUCUCAAAUGAUAUAAGAGGAAUCUUCAUGCAAGUUUUCCAAUAUGAAUCUGUUUAUGGCCCCUUGGUUAAUAGAUGCAAGAUGGGACCCCCAGAGUAAGAAGAAAGAAUUCUGUGCAUCUUGGCCAGCUGCUGUUUCUCACCAGUUCCCACACUCAUCCACUUGUUCUCUUGUCAGAUACCCUGAAUGUGCUCACCUCCUGACACCGACUGAAUUGCACAAAGACUGAAUGGGUCUUACCUUGAAGAACCAAACCAGAUUUCUCAAUGGUGUAGAGGAAAGCUGAGAAUGGAGCAACAGGGGACUUAGCGACCAGGAUCUGC